RNAcentral lists this long non-coding RNA (783 nucleotides) under Ananas comosus (pineapple). RNAcentral's name for it is "long non-coding RNA (ACOM_LNC030344)". The record is from RNAcentral. Lineage: Eukaryota; Viridiplantae; Streptophyta; Magnoliopsida; Poales; Bromeliaceae.
GUAACGACCCAGCCCACUAGCAACAAUAACUCGUUGGGCCCAACCGCCGGCCCAAAAUGCUUAAGCCCAGUUAUUAUUACUAGUGUCUAAGUCUCUUAUAAACCCAAGGACAACCCCAUUCCCAUCCGAUGUGGGAUUAUUGGGGUGUCACAGACUCCCCCCGUUAAGACCCUGACGUCCUCGUCAGUCCAAUCACACACACAGCCUAAGAUCACCAGGUGAUGUGAGACUCAUCUCGCUAGCCCGUCAUCCAGACCCUGGCUCAGCCGAGACUCGCCACACAUGUCCAGCUGGUGAACCGGCUCUGAUACCAAAUGUAACGACCCAGCCCACUAGAAACAAUAACUCGUUGAACCCAACAACCGGCCCAAAAAGCUUAAGCCCAGUUAUUAUUACUAGUGUCUAAGUCUCUUAUAAACCCAAUGACAACCCCAUUCCCAUCCGAUGUGGGACUAUUGGGGUGUCACAGACUCCCCCCGUUAAGGCCCUGACGUCCUCGUCAGUCCAAUCACACACACAGCCCAAGAUCACCAGGCGAUGUGAGACUCGUCUCGCUAGCCCGUCAUCCAGACCCUGGCUCAGCCGAGACUCGCCACACAUGUCCAGCUGGUGAACCGGCUCUGAUACCAAAUGUAACGACCCAGCCCACUAGCAACAAUAACUCGUUGGGCCCAACCGCCGGCCCAAAAUGCUUAAGCCCAGUUAUUAUUACUAGUGUCUAAGUCUCUUAUAAACCCAAGGACAACCCCAUUCCUAUCCGAUGUGGGAUUAUUGGGGUGUCAC